This 1695-nucleotide ribosomal RNA is filed under the name Prionotus evolans (striped searobin). RNAcentral's name for it is "16S ribosomal RNA". The stretch from base 97 to 1615 matches the Rfam family "Bacterial large subunit ribosomal RNA". The record is from RNAcentral. Lineage: Eukaryota; Metazoa; Chordata; Actinopteri; Perciformes; Triglidae.
UACCCAACAGCUAGCCCCCUCCCCUAAUAACAACAUCCCCUCAUUAAUAACCCCAAACAAACUAACAAAUAUAAAACAAACCAUUUUUCCUCCUGAGUAUGGGCGACAGAAAAGGACCUACGGAGCAAUAGAAAAAGUACCGCAAGGGAACGCUGAAAGAGAGAUGAAACAGCUCAGUAAAGUUUAAAAAUGCAGAGACUCCCCCUCGUACCUUUUGCAUCAUGAUUUAGCCAGUGUCCCCCAAGCAAAAUGCAUUUUAGUUUGGCCCCCCGAAACUAAGUGAGCUACCCCAAGACAGCCUAAUCUAUAGGGCAAACCCGUCUCUGUGGCAAAAGAGUGGGACGAUCUUUGGGUAGAGGUGAUAAAUCUACCGAACUUAGUUAUAGCUGGUUGCCCGAGAAAUGAAUAGAAGUUCAGCCUCGACGCUUCUCCCCUCACUCAGAACCUUAUCUUAAUAGACAAGCCAGAGAAGCAGCGAGCGUUAGUCAAAGGAGGUACAGCUCCUUUGAAACAAGACACAACUUUUGAAGAAGGGUAAAGAUCAUAGUUAAUUAAAGGUAUAAUGUUUUGGUGGGCCUAAAAGCAGCCAUCCACAUAGAAAGCGUUAAAGCUCAGACAUAUUUAUAUACUCCUACUAUACCGAUUUUAUAUCUUAUCCCUCUAAAAAUACCGGGCCGUCCCAUGCCCCCAUGGGAGCGAUUAUGCUAGAAUGAGUAAUAAGAGAGCCCGACUCUCUCCUGACACAUGUGUAAGUCGGAAUGGACCCCCCACCGACUCAUAACGGCCCCAAUAAACAGAGGGUACUGAGCAUAAAAAAAGUCAACAAGAAAAGCCUCCAAAACUUAACCGUUAACCUUACACAAGAGUGUCCUCAAGGAAAGACUAAAAGAAAGAGAAGGAACUCGGCAAACACAUAAAGCCUCGCCUGUUUACCAAAAACAUCGCCUCUUGCAAAAGUAAAGAAUAAGAGGUCCUGCCUGCCCAGUGACUAUAUGUUCAACGGCCGCGGUAUUUUGACCGUGCAAAGGUAGCGCAAUCACUUGUCUUUUAAAUAAAGACCGGUAUGAAUGGCAAGACGAGGGCUUGACUGUCUCCUUUUUCAUGUCAAUGAAAUUGAUCUCCCCGUGCAGAAGCGGGGACACCAACAUAAGACGAGAAGACCCUAUGGAGCUUCAGACACGAAAGCAGCCUAUGUCAAUUACUCUGGCACAACAGAAUGAACUAAAUAGGCCUGCCCGAAUGUCUUUGGUUGGGGCGACCGCGGGGAAAUAAAUAACCCCCAUGUGGAAUGGGAGCACCAUCCUCCUAAAACUAAGAGUGACAACUCUAAGUAACAGAAAUUCUGACCAGCUAGAUCCGGCCAUGCCGAUCAACGGACCGAGUUACCCUAGGGAUAACAGCGCAAUCCUCUUUUAGAGCCCAUAUCGACAAGGGGGUUUACGACCUCGAUGUUGGAUCAGGACAUCCUAAUGGUGUAGCCGCUAUUAAGGGUUCGUUUGUUCAACGAUUAAAGUCCUACGUGAUCUGAGUUCAGACCGGAGCAAUCCAGGUCAGUUUCUAUCUAUGAUGCGCCCUUUUCUAGUACGAAAGGACCGAAAAGAGGAGGCCCAUGCCCCAGGCACGCCUCUCCCAUCACCCAACGAAACCAACUAAAAUGGGCAACUGGGAGCUACGCCCCGGCCUAAGAAAAGGGCU